AUGAGGAUGACUUGCCCCCUAUUGACUUGUGAGAUCUAUUCCGCGGACUGA
This 51-nucleotide small nucleolar RNA is filed under the name Pyrobaculum oguniense TE7. RNAcentral's name for it is "POGsR07". Lineage: Archaea; Thermoproteati; Thermoproteota; Thermoprotei; Thermoproteales; Thermoproteaceae. The record is from RNAcentral.